GGGAUUAUAGUUUUAAUUUGGUAAAACAGAUAAUUUGCGUUUAUAAAUUAUUGGUUCGAAUCCAAUUAUUUCCAC
RNAcentral lists this transfer RNA (75 nucleotides) under Periphykon beckeri. Its description in RNAcentral is "tRNA-Ala". It matches the Rfam family "tRNA". Rfam says of the family: Transfer RNA (tRNA) molecules are approximately 80 nucleotides in length. Their secondary structure includes four short double-helical elements and three loops (D, anti-codon, and T loops). Further hydrogen bonds mediate the characteristic L-shaped molecular structure. tRNAs have two regions of fundamental functional importance: the anti-codon, which is responsible for specific mRNA codon recognition, and the 3' end, to which the tRNAs corresponding amino acid is attached (by aminoacyl-tRNA synthetases). tRNAs cope with the degeneracy of the genetic code in two manners: having more than one tRNA (with a specific anti-codon) for a particular amino acid; and 'wobble' base-pairing, i.e. permitting non-standard base-pairing at the 3rd anti-codon position. The record is from RNAcentral. Lineage: Eukaryota; Rhodophyta; Florideophyceae; Ceramiales; Rhodomelaceae.